Molecule: ribosomal RNA, 406 nt
Filed under: uncultured bacterium
Lineage: Bacteria
Description: partial 16S ribosomal RNA
Rfam family: Bacterial small subunit ribosomal RNA
Source: RNAcentral
AUUGAACGCUGGCGGCAGGCCUAACACAUGCAAGUCGAACGAGUGGCGGACGGGUGAGUAAUGUCUGGGAAACUGCCCGAUGGAGGGGGAUAAGUACUGGAAACGGUAGCUAAUACCGCAUACCAUCGGAUGUGCCCAGAUGGGAUUAGCUAGUAGGUGGGGUAACGGCUCACCUAGGCGACGAUGCCUAGCUGGUCUGAGAGGAUGACCGGCCACACUGGAACUGAGACACGGUCCAGACUCCUACGGGAGGCAGCAGUGGGGAAUAUUGCGCAAUGGGCGAAAGCCUGAGACAGCCAUGCCGCGUGUAUGAAGAAGGCCUUCGGGUUGUAAAGUACUUUCAGCGAGGAGGCGUUACUCACAGAAGAAGCAACGGCUAACUCCGUGCCAGCAGCCGCGGUAAUAC